RNAcentral lists this ribosomal RNA (460 nucleotides) under uncultured bacterium. Its description in RNAcentral is "partial 16S ribosomal RNA". It matches the Rfam family "Bacterial small subunit ribosomal RNA", at positions 338 to 795 of the family's 1533-position model. The record is from RNAcentral.
CCUACGGGAGGCAGCAGUGAGGAAUAUUGGUCAAUGGACGAGAGUCUGAACCAGCCAAGUAGCGUGAAGGAUGACUGCCCUAUGGGUUGUAAACUUCUUUUAUAAAGGAAUAAAACGAGGCACGUGUGCCUUUUUGCAUGUACUUUAUGAAUAAGGAUCGGCUAACUCCGUGCCAGCAGCCGCGGUACUACGGAGGAUCCGAGCGUUAUCCGGAUUUCUUGGGUUUAAAGGGAGCGUAGAUGGGUUGUUAAGUCAGUUGUGAAAGUUUGCGGCUCAACCGUAAAAUUGCAAUUGAUACUGGCAGUCUUGAGUACAGUUGAGGUAGGCGGAAUUCGUGGUGUAGCGGUGAAAUGCUUAGAUAUCACGAAGAACCCCGAUUGCGAAGGCAGCUUACUAAACUGUGACUGACAUUGAUGCUCGAAAGUGUGGGUAUCAAACAGGAUUAGAUACCCGGGUAGUC